UUAGUAGAGAGAGCAUGUGCUCCCUAAAAAUAGAACUUUUCAUCUAUGCGCUUCAGUUGAAAGCUACUGAGGACUGGACACAGUGGUUAGUCUUGGGACCAGUGCUAUUCAACAUCUUCAUCGCUGACACAGACGAUGGCAUCGAGUGCAUCCUCAGCAAGUUUGCAGAUGGACCUGGACAGGCUGGAGAACUGGGCCCAUGUGAAACUAAUGAAGUUCAACAAGGCCAAGUGCAAGGUAAAAGUGGAAAGGUACAUUUCACUACAUACCGAAUUUGUUGAUAUUUGAAGACACUGACAUUUACUCAAGAAUUCUUAUUGGAAAACAGAAAGCUUUUCAGAUGAGGUCUUCUCACAGGCAUGUGUUUAUGACUCGCUUCCAAAAAAAAAAAAAAAAAAGGAACAUGAAUACCAUUCAAAAAGUAUAGUAUUGAGGUGAUCCCUGGGAAUAUACAGUGCUUUUUUUUCCGAGGCCUCAUGUACAAAUCAUUCCACCUGGAAACUGUGCC
Long non-coding RNA from Gallus gallus (chicken), 508 nucleotides. The record is from Ensembl. Lineage: Eukaryota; Metazoa; Chordata; Aves; Galliformes; Phasianidae.